GUACGCAAAGUAUGCAUUCGUCAAAAUAAUUGGUUUUGUGUUGUAACUUUACUUUAUUCAUACUUCAUGAUCAUAUUAAAUUUAUUUUUUUUUCCCAUGUCAACCUUGAAGAACAGUAUUCGGAAAAAAUAUUCAAGUGGUUAUUAUAAUAUGAAUCUAUUUGUUAGAAAUUAAAACAUCUUAAAUUACGCCUGUAUUAUUAUGGUGAAAGCAACAUAAUUGACACGACAGUGACCAUUUUCUUAUCAGUGGUGAACGAGCCAACUAUAAUGGAGCUAUCUUCACAGACAUCCAUAGUCCACGGUCAAAGGGCGUGUUCACACUCAACGAUGUUAUCGACCGAUAUUGUCGUCGGCGGCGGGGAAC
Molecule: non-coding RNA, 366 nt
Organism: Cinara cedri
Lineage: Eukaryota; Metazoa; Arthropoda; Insecta; Hemiptera; Aphididae
Source: the annotation of a GenBank genome assembly